RNAcentral lists this long non-coding RNA (376 nucleotides) under Gossypium barbadense (sea-island cotton). RNAcentral's name for it is "long non-coding RNA (GBAR_LNC009798)". The record is from RNAcentral. Lineage: Eukaryota; Viridiplantae; Streptophyta; Magnoliopsida; Malvales; Malvaceae.
CAAUUUGUCCUUAAUAAAGGAGUUCACCAGGGGGAUUUGAUUACACUCUAUAAGGAUGUUGAAGCAGAAGCUUCGUAUAAGAUCGAAGUUCAGAGAAAAAUCAAGUUAUUAGGCAAGGAGUGCUGGUAUAAUCUGGAACCAGACCAACCUACAGGCGCAACAGCACAAGAUAAGAGAAAAUUCCUGUUAUUUGGCAAGGAGUGCGGCUAUUUUCUGGAACCAGAACAACCAACAGACGCAACAGGAGAAGUUAUUCAAGACUAGUAGUCCUGCCGGAUGUUUAACAAUAUAUGAUUGUUAGGUAUGGUAUGAUGUUUCUGGAGCUGAUUUCAUGACUAGCAGUUUGUGAAACAUAUCUUAGCAGUCUGAAAUGAAU